This is a long non-coding RNA of Zophobas morio, 416 nucleotides long. RefSeq lists it as uncharacterized. The record is from RefSeq and is a predicted model, not a curated record. The transcript has 2 exons. NCBI's taxonomy places the organism in Eukaryota, Metazoa, Arthropoda, Insecta, Coleoptera, Tenebrionidae.
CAAUGAAGAGGAACGUUUUGGUGCAAAUAUGGGUAGAGAAGGUAAAUAGACAGAAUGAGAAAUUUGUCUCGGGUCUUAAGAGAUGUAAACGACCCCUUGAUCGUUCGAGAAGAAACCUUUAGGAAGACCUACCAACUGCCGCAGAGUUCUGUAUUAUUCACCAGAAGUUGCAGGAAAAAUUAUAUACUCAUGUGCUACUUCACACAACAUCUUACGCAUAAGAAAUAUCGAAAAUGACGAGAUCAAUAUUGUCUAUGACAAGGAGAACGAUAAUAAUGAAGAACUUGAAUAUGAAGAACACAAUUUACUACAUGAAUGGCAUAUCGCAAGAAAUAAUUUAAUAAUACAGCAUUUUCAAUAAUGUAUUUAUUAUUUUUUUUACAACAUAAUGAAAUUAUUAAACAGUUCCUCUUUCA